UUGCUUACCAAUUUUUAUUAUAUUCUAAUGGCAUUUUGUUUUCCAAUCCUUUCUUCUACACUCUUCUACGCUCUUCUUUGCUUACAAUUAACAAUGCCGAUGCUCUACUCAGCAAAGUACAAACUUUGAGUUCAUUCUUAACUGGGUAUUUUAAUUGCAGUGUAUUCAAGAACCGAAUCCUAUAUGACUAUAUCUAUAGUUUUUAUGGGAUUAUAAUAACGAUUAGGGAGGCAUGGCUCAAGCUCUCUCUGUCAAACAACAAUGGGGAACAAAAGCAACAAAUUUGUGUUAAGCUCCGGGUCACUACCAUUGUUGUCGAUAGAUUGACGUUGGGCAUCCAUCUCUGAACCUCAUUUGAUACCAAAAAUCAAAUUAUUUUUCCUCCUCAAGGUUCCAGUCUCAGGAGCUUAUCAACGAAAAAAAAAUAAAAAUCUUGCACCCGCCACUUUCAUAAACCCUGAAGGUACAUUGGUUGAAGCUUUUUUAUUACAAGCUUCCCAGUACAAGCAAAUUUGCUAUUUUUGACAUUAUGUAGGCAUGGCUGACUGCUGAUGAGUCAAAUGGUCGUGACUCGUGAGUGAUCCUAGCAUUUUUUGGCUCAUCUUCAUGAGGUAUUUCAAAACGUAACGUCUCCCUGUUAUGUAUUUCUGGGAUAGCAAAGGUUGGCUACUAAGCUAGGGCAUUGAGUGAAGGUUGUACAAUUACAAACACUUGAGGCAUCAAUGGAUUUAUGAAACAGAAUUUUAUUG
This is a long non-coding RNA of Solanum tuberosum (potato), 749 nucleotides long. RefSeq lists it as uncharacterized. The record is from RefSeq and is a predicted model, not a curated record. The transcript has 4 exons. Lineage: Eukaryota; Viridiplantae; Streptophyta; Magnoliopsida; Solanales; Solanaceae.